CAACUACUCCCUCUGUCCCAAAUUUCAUGUCUUGGAUUUGUCUAGAUACGGAUGUAUCUAAUACUAAAAUGUGACUUGAUACAUCCGUAUAUAGACAAAUCUAAGACAGUAAUUUUGGGAUGGAGGGAUGUAACAC
This is a non-coding RNA of Triticum aestivum (bread wheat), 136 nucleotides long. Lineage: Eukaryota; Viridiplantae; Streptophyta; Magnoliopsida; Poales; Poaceae. The record is from Rfam.